This 91-nucleotide signal recognition particle RNA is filed under the name bovine gut metagenome. RNAcentral describes it as "Bacterial small signal recognition particle RNA". It matches the Rfam family "Bacterial small signal recognition particle RNA". Rfam says of the family: The signal recognition particle (SRP) is a universally conserved ribonucleoprotein involved in the co-translational targeting of proteins to membranes. Archaeal SRP consists of a 7S RNA and homologues of the eukaryotic SRP19 and SRP54 proteins. The record is from RNAcentral. RNAcentral also lists the same sequence under 1 other name.
UGGGUCCCGUGCGAUUUUCCACUGUGAACCUUGUCAGGGCCGGAAGGCAGCAGCAAUAAGCAGCUGGCCGAUGUGCUGCGGGGGUGCCCCG